Molecule: ribosomal RNA, 253 nt
Filed under: uncultured bacterium
Lineage: Bacteria
Description: partial 16S ribosomal RNA
Rfam family: Bacterial small subunit ribosomal RNA
Source: RNAcentral
UACGUAGGGGGCAAGCGUUGUCCGGAAUUAUUGGGCGUAAAGAGCGCGUAGGCGGUCCGUUAAGUCGGCUGUGAAAGUCAAGGGCUCAACCCUUGAAAGCCGGCCGAUACUGUCGGACUAGAGUCCGGAAGAGGCGAGUGGAAUUCCCGGUGUAGCGGUGAAAUGCGCAGAUAUCGGGAGGAACACCAAUGGCGAAGGCAGCUCGCUGGGACGGGACUGACGCUGAGGCGCGAAAGCGUGGGGAGCAAACAGG